AUGCUGUCAGUUCAAAUCAUCAUCUUGGAGGCUGAGAAGAGUCUAGAUCAGUACUCAGCCUCCUCCCAUCCUCAGCAGUGGUUGCUCAGUGCAGCCCAUGUGCUCCUUCUCACCCACUGGAUGUUUCUCUGGCAGUUCAGAUGUUCCAGGCUGCUGCUGUGUCCCCAAACAUGGCCUUGUUUACAUUCUUUCCCCAGUCUCAUAGAGGAGGGACUCUUUUUUCCUUAUUUUAGGCAGCUCCAAAGAUGCCCACAGACUCGGCCUCCUGCAGCUGUGCACAGUGCUGGCUCCCCACCAAUGCUCUGUCUCGACGAAGAACCUACUUGAAAGUGCAAGGAAGGAGGUGCUACUUCUAGAGGGUCUCCUGAGUCCUGCUGUACACGAAGAGCUGAAUCGAUCCCUGACAGCGCCACAGUCUUCUCUCUUUGGACUUGACCAUCGCUGAUCCUCGAUUGGGUAGCAAUGACACAAGAGCCGCGAUUUAAUGUCUUAAAAAUGCCUGGUUCUACAUACCUUUCACUUCCAAGUGACAGAGUAAGGCCUUGCUCUGCAUUCCUCUCAGGAGUUUUCUGGCCUCUAGUUUUCUCAUCUUAAAAAUGAGCGAAGAGGGCGAAAUGAACAAAUUUUCCCCCUUCAUUUCAACACGGGUGAGAUAUGCAGCAACAAAGGGAAUGAUUUUUAAACUGGGAUCAGCAAGGUAGAAAAUGAAAAGUUAUCAGAAUCUCCUGGGAUAGGGGGAAGAAGAGUUUUCUCAGGCUCUAAAUGUAAUUUCCAACCUAUAAGAUUUCUAAUCUUCAUUUUAAAUAUGAAACGACAAGCAUCACCACACCCCUACCCUAUCUUUCCUGUUUAUUCCCCAGUAAGGUUAGGGCCACAUCUCUUUCAGGAUUACAUUAGUCAUUUUUACUGACAAGCUGCUGGUCUCUGAGCUUGCUCACAGAAUCUGAGUUCAUAGAAACUUCUCCAGUUGCCAAUUUUCAGCAGUAAUUGGCAUUUAUGCUUUGAUAAAAAAAUUUUAUAUACAUAUCAAAUCAUACAUUUGUCAAGAAUAGCUCCCCCACAAGUGACCUUUCUUUUGGUUUAAUGAACGCUCCUUGUUGCUUAAGUUUAUGUGAUUUAACUGGAGAAUUUUAGAGUUGAAGGGUUCAACUUAGCAAAUAUUCUAUAUGAAUGAUGAAAAACAGACAUCCCAGGUAGAUUUUUUAAAAAAAUGAAAUUCACAUAUUUUGUUACUUGUAUGACAUCAUAUAAGGGAUAGUUUCCACACUAUGGCAACUUGUUCAUCAAUUACAAACACAGGGUGGGACAAGACUAUAGGACCCUCUGCGUUCUUCCAACCUGGUCUUAACUGCCCAAACCACUAGCACGACCCCUCAUUUUUCUUCAAAUCAAACUAGGGGACUGUGCUCUCUUAAUUCUUUGCAAGCCUACCUGAAAAAGAGAAAAAUACAAGAACUGCUGUGAAAACAUUUAGCAGCAAGGGAGGAAAAUGGGGGCGGGGUUGGAACUUAUCUAAGGAAAACACUGGGGCGAUCCUGGAGUCCUAUCCCUGCAGGACUGGGUGGAUGCCAAGUUCUGCAUUUCUCCAAAAUGAUCCCAGCAGCUGCAGCAUGUUAUAUGUGGCAACUCUUCUAGGAUCUCAAAGGGUUUUCAGAGUCGCGCUGGCAGCUGCCUCCUGUCGCCUCACUCUAUAAUGAUUGAACCGCUUGUUCCUUUUAUAGAGUUGUUCUCUCCUAAUAAAACACUAAAUGCUGGUCUGAGCAACUGUUCCAGGAUCACUAGAUGCAAUCUUUCCUCCCUCUUGCUCCUCACCCCUCAUGUCUGAUAUUUUCUAUCACAAUGGGCCCCUGUCUAAAUGGCCGUCACUGAUACACGGCCAGAGCACGCAUACAGGCUUCAAAGUGUGCACACACAAGUUCCACCGAGCUCCUUUUAACCAAACCUGAACUCCACAUCCAUUUCCAGCUAUUUUAAGAGCUGCUACUUUAAAACUGGGCAACAGUCCUAAACACAUGAAAGCAUACACGAAGCACAAACUGCCAUAAAUGAAGAACCGCAAUUCAUUGUGUCAGGAGUCUGCAGAGGUGAUACCUUCAAGCUGUUCGUCAGAAUAAAAAGCCGUGACUUGUCAGCUUUUGGAUGGGAAGCAAUGCAAAACAAGCCAUCUUUUCCUGGCAAAUAUGAACCACAUUUGUAAGGUGUGAACUCUUUUCAUACUUCAAAAUGCAGAUGGAAACAAUGCCAUACCAAUGCAGGAAUAGGCUCAAAAAGGAUUCCUAGCUCAUCUCCAACUUCAGCAUCCUUCUCCAAGUCAUAAUCUGGGAGCUACAGCAAGAAAGCCAAUGUCCUUUCCCAUAUCAAGUACCAGUGACAUUGAAAAAUGAUCCUUAUUUUUAAGAGUUCAUGCUCAGUUUAUGCCCAAUCUAUCUUUUUAUAAUUCUAUUUCAGACUGUAAGCUUCUCAAGCCUGGGUUACUCAUUUUUUUUUUUUUUUUUUUUUUUUUUAUCUGGCGGUUAGUAAAGUGCCUGGUAGGCCAGUAGUUGCUGGUUAAAUGUUUGCUGAAUAAAUAAAUGGAACCCUAUAAACAAAAUGGACUUGGCUUGUGGGUUCUUAGCUAAAACAGGCAAACUAAAAAAAAGUCCCUUUACAUUCAUUCCUCAGAUUUUGAAGGCUUUUUGCUGAGAUUUUAGUGAGGAAUCCAGCCCUCUUGAAAAAACUGUGUUUUCAGAAACUGCCAUUUGACUAUAAAGGAAAAACACAAAAAGAAGCUUCAGGCUCUAAUGAAUCAGGAACACCAAAAUUCUC
Molecule: long non-coding RNA, 2805 nt
Organism: Fukomys damarensis (Damara mole-rat)
Lineage: Eukaryota; Metazoa; Chordata; Mammalia; Rodentia; Bathyergidae
Source: Ensembl